ACUGGGAUAGUUCAGUCAGUAGAGCAGGAGACUCUUAAUCUCAGGUCGUGGGUUCGAGCCCCACUUUGGGCA
Podarcis lilfordi (Lilford's wall lizard) is the source of this 72-nucleotide non-coding RNA. NCBI's taxonomy places the organism in Eukaryota, Metazoa, Chordata, Lepidosauria, Squamata, Lacertidae. The record is from the annotation of a GenBank genome assembly.